CCUACGGGAGGCAGCAGUGGGGAAUAUUUCGCAAUGGGGGCAACCCUGACGAAGCAACGCCGCGUGGAGGAUGAAGGCCCUAGCGGUCGUAAACUCCUGUCUAGCGGGACGAAAGUAUUUCAGGUGAAUAAACUGGAGUAUUGACUGUACCGCUGGAGGAAGCUCCGGCCAACUCCGUG
RNAcentral lists this ribosomal RNA (179 nucleotides) under uncultured bacterium. RNAcentral's name for it is "partial 16S ribosomal RNA". It matches the Rfam family "Bacterial small subunit ribosomal RNA", at positions 338 to 507 of the family's 1533-position model. The record is from RNAcentral.